Molecule: ribosomal RNA, 253 nt
Filed under: uncultured bacterium
Lineage: Bacteria
Description: partial 16S ribosomal RNA
Rfam family: Bacterial small subunit ribosomal RNA
Source: RNAcentral
UACGAAGGGGGCUAGCGUUGCUCGGAAUCACUGGGCGUAAAGCGCACGUAGGCGGACUCUUAAGUCGGUGGUGAAAUCCUGGAGCUCAACUCCAGAACUGCCUUCGAUACUGAGAGUCUCGAGUCCGGGAGAGGUGAGUGGAACUGCGAGUGUAGAGGUGAAAUUCGUAGAUAUUCGCAAGAACACCAGUGGCGAAGGCGGCUCACUGGCCCGGUACUGACGCUGAGGUGCGAAAGCGUGGGGAGCAAACAAG